UACUACCAACAUUUCCACUACUAGGUGUAGGUGGUAUCUCAUCUGCUAUUCCAAUUUCAUUAUCUUCUAUUCCGUAAUCUUCUUGUAAUUGUUCAUAAUUAAUAUCUACAUCUUGCAAAUUAGGCGAUGAUUUAGAAAAAUGUGUUAUUGGAUCAUUACUAUUACUACCAGAAGCUACAGGACUACCUCUUUUUUUACUUCCACCCCUACCAGUAACUUUUCUACACGCUCUUUUAGCAGCAUUAN
This 246-nucleotide long non-coding RNA is filed under the name Nicotiana benthamiana. RNAcentral describes it as "long non-coding RNA (NBEN_LNC005554)". Lineage: Eukaryota; Viridiplantae; Streptophyta; Magnoliopsida; Solanales; Solanaceae. The record is from RNAcentral.